Hyla sarda is the source of this 2609-nucleotide long non-coding RNA. RefSeq lists it as uncharacterized. NCBI's taxonomy places the organism in Eukaryota, Metazoa, Chordata, Amphibia, Anura, Hylidae. The record is from RefSeq and is a predicted model, not a curated record. The transcript is spliced from 4 exons.
CCACGUUUUUGCAAUACAGUUCCCGUAUACGUUUUCAAUUUGAAAACCGUACGGAACCGUAUUGAAAACCGUAUGCAUUGACUCUCCAUUGAAAACCAUAUGCCAAAAGAUGCAUCCGGUUGUGUCCGUUUUGCAUCCUGUAUGGUUUUGUCAGUUUUUUUUUCCCGUACCCAAAACCGUAGCCUACCACGGUUUUUGGUCCGGGUGAAAACCGUACUGAAACGUAUAUGUUUUUUUAAACAUGGGAGUCAAUGGGAACUGUACAGACCUGUAUGUGCAUACGGUUCCAUCCGGUUUUCACCAUACGUUUUUUUACUUUGCACAGUUUUUUUCUUGGAAUUUCAAUCAAACAAGUGAAACUUUAUUCAUAAUGGAGUGAAAAGUUAAAAACGUAUACCUUUUUUUCUUAAAAAACUGAUGCAACCGGACAUCAUUUUUCAACCGUAUAAGGAUUAAAAUUUGUACACACGUUUUGAUACAGUUUAGUCAGGUUUUGAGGAAUCCGUUUUUUUUUUUUAAAUCAAAAACCUGAUAAGGGAACUGUAUUGAACAACGUGGGGUGAACCCAGCCUAACCAAUCACAGCUCAGCUUUCACUUUACCAGAGCUCGUUAGCUGAGCUGUGAUUGGUUGCUGUGGAAAAAUCUCUCCACUUUUUCUCUCACCAGUUUGAUAAAUCUGGGCCUAUAUCUUCUACAUAUGUACAAACAGUAUGUAUUCAACAUUUCUUCAACAGGUGUAUAUAGAGUAUGUAUUCACGAUAUCUUCUACAGGUGUGUAUACGGUAUAUACUCACGAUAUCUUCUACAGGUGUGUAUACGGUAUAUAUUCACGAUAUCUUCUACAGGUGUGUAUACGGUAUAUAUUCACGAUAUCUUCUACAGGUGUGUAUACGGUCUAUAUUCACGAUAUCUUCUACAAGUGUGUAUACGGUAUAUAUUCACGAUAUCUUCUACAGGUGUGUAUACGGUAUAUAUUCACGAUAUCUUCUACAGGUGUGUAUACGGUCUAUAUUCACGAUAUCUUCUACAAGUGUGUAUACGGUAUAUAUUCACGAUAUCUUCUACAGGUGUGUAUACGGUAUAUAUUCACGAUAUCUUCUACAGGUGUGUAUACGGUAUAUAUUCACGAUAUCUUCUACAAGUGUGUAUACGGUAUAUAUUCACGAUAUCUUCUACAGGUGUGUAUACGGUAUAUAUUCACGAUAUCUUCUACAGGAGUAUAUACGGUAUAUAUUCAACCACAUUGGUAUCAGCCCUGCUGGCGCUUACAGUCCAACUGACCUAUGCCAAGUACCCAAACAAUGAGGAUGUUAUAGGACUCCACACCUUUUUUUUGGAAAAAAACAAGAUAUGAUACAAGUCUUCUGUCUAACUAUUGUGUGUUGUGAACAUGAACACCCAAACCCUAUACUUAGGAUAAGUAUUGAACGUAUGUCACCAACAUGGCAAGACAGCAUGGAUUUUGUUAGCAAAACAGAAACUUGGCCUACCUAUAGUGAUGCCCCCUGAAGACUUCCAUCUUCAAACAGCGGGUUUGAUAAUGAUAAAAUGCUUUUUUUUAAAAUGUGUAAAAUGGUUUUAUAUUUUUUUAUUUUUAUUUUUUAGUUUUAUGUGAAUAAUGCUUACCCAUUGUACCUCUGGGACCCUAACCUAUCGGGACAAUGUGGGUCUGAAUGCAGUAAAUGCUGUGGCCGUAAGGGAGCAUUUGCACCAGGAUUUUGGGAUAUGCCAGGAGAAUUUUAAAACUGGCUGCUGCUGUAUGAAAGGGCAACUCCCCUCAAAUUUUUUGGACUGUAUCAAUUUUUGUUGCCUGACUGAAAACCGCUGUCUGCUGCAGUUUCAGUUGGGCAACAAAAACUGACACAAUUCGAAAAUGAGCUGACCAAAGUCACUAUAUGACUCCGUCCGGCUCAUUGAGAUUGAUGGCGUGCGGUGCAGGUGUGGCUGGGAUACAGUUUUUAAAUUCUCCGCAUGGAUCCGGCUUUCGUAUCCCAAAAUCGUGGUGGUAUCAUAGGGAAACAUUUAAUUAAAAUACAAGCUUAGAAAUAAGGAGCAUCACACAGAACUGGAGGAACCCUCAGAAGAAGCAGCAGCAAAAUCCAUGUUGGGAUGAGGAUGCCAUCCUGAUAACAUUAUUGAUAGAAUGCAGAAAAAUGCUAUGCUUGACUCGCAAUGCCUUGAGGCAGAGAUGGACAACAUUGAACUGUUGACCCAUAGUGAGAAAGAAAGACUUGUUCCUACAGGUUUACGAGAUUGCUUGUGUUGAAAACUCCCUCGCUAGACCAAGUGUCUGUCCAAUGGCGAACCAGCAUGAACGCGGCUCAGCCUGGGAACAAAACGUGCGGCCAAAGAGAGACGAAGAUUCCUUCCACAAGCCAUCUCAAGAUGUCAUUACUCUUAAAGGGACCAAAGACCCGUCGGACAUCACUGUCACCCACAUCUAAGCGUCCAUGUAUUUGUUAUAAAUCGAAGCUGUGAAUAAUGUUGAUAAUACCCGUAUAAUCUUAGAUUAUCCAAGCAUGCCUGGAAAAUGUGGAAUAUAUGACGGUGGAAUUUUCCCCCUGGAGAGGGGGAGGGGGGGGGUGAUAUUCUGGGGAAGUGGCGAAAA